Long non-coding RNA from Macaca fascicularis (crab-eating macaque), 2213 nucleotides. The record is from Ensembl. Lineage: Eukaryota; Metazoa; Chordata; Mammalia; Primates; Cercopithecidae.
GGGUGACAUGUGGGUGAACAGUGGCCUGGGGUGUAGCCCACAGAGGAGGCGGUGGGUGUGGGCUCUGCACUGCAGGGUUUGCAUGUGGAAAGCCUGUGUGGGGUGGGCAAGUGUUCACUAUCCAGGAAUUGGCUGUUUGUGGGAGGGGCAGCCUCCCAGGGUCAACAGGCCCCAGAUGUCAGAGCAUCAGAUACAGAAAAUAAACAACAUGGUUACUAUAGCAUCAAAGGACCAAGGUUCAAAUCUCAGGUACUGCCUAUAUGAGCAAGUCAGGCCACCUCUGAGAUCUGUCUGCUCCUGUGUAACUCAGAGAGGAUCACACCAAUCAUUCGAUUAGACAACUUGUUUUUUUAAAUGUAGCUUAGUACUUGGCACAUUAUAGUUAUUGCUAAAUAUUAGCUAAUUAAAUCUUAUGGCAUUUAAAAUAGUAGUUAUAAUCUCUUACCCAACACAGUUUGGACUAGAAGUGUUUCAGAUUUUGAUUUUUUCAGAUUUUGGAAUAUAUGUAAUAAUCAGAUUAUAUUGAGGGUGGGACCCAAAUCUAAACAUGAAAUUCAUUUAUGUUUCAUAUACACCUUACACACAUAGCUGAAAAUAACUUGAUGCAAUACUUAAACAUAAUUUUGCGCAGAAAACAAAGUUUGCAUUUUGACCGUGACCCAUCACGUGAGGGCACGCACGAGAUUUUCCACUUGUGGCAUCAUGUUGAUGCUCAAAAGGUUUUGAAUUUUGGAGUUUUUCAGAUUUGGGAUUUUCAGAUUAGGGAUGCUCAGCCUGUAUGUGCACAGCUUCUCUGGCACUCUCUUCAAAAGAUGGAGCCUGGGCCGGGCGCAGUGGCUCACGCCUGUAAUCCCAGCACUUUGAGUGGCCGAGGUGGGCAGAUCACCUGAGGUCAGGAGUUCAAGACCAGCCUGGCCGACAUGGUGAAACCCUGUCUCUACUAAAAAUACAAAAAUUAGCCGGGCUUGGUGUCGGGCACCUGUAAUCCCAGCUACUCAGGAGGCUGAGGCAGGAGAAUCACUUGAACCCAGGAGGUGGAGGGUGCAGUGAGCCAAGAUCAUGCCACUGCGCUCCAGCCCUGGCAACACAGUGAGACUCAGUGCCAAAAACAAACAAAGAAACAAAAGAUGGAUCCUGAAGCCAGGUGACAUGGCUUAUACCUGUAGACUCAGCUACGUGGGAGGCUGAGAUGGGAGGCGUUCAGAAGUUCAGGAUUGGCCUAGACAACAUGGCCAGACCAAUCUCAAAAAAAAAAAAAAAAAAAAGAUGGCGCCUGUGCCUCUCCCCUGAGCACAGGUUGGAUUUAGCUGCUCUUUUCUGCUGAGUAGAAGAAACCCGGACAUGGCAGCGUGGGCCUCGGAGACACAUUCAUGCGAGGCACUCGGCUUCCUGUGUGCUCCUUCUCUUGGGUCAUGCAUCCUGGAGAAGGCAAACACCCCACAGGGAGGAUCCUCAGGCAGUGCACAGAGGGCCCCACGCGGCACGGAGCCGAGGCCUCCAGCUCCACCCCUCAACAACAGGGUCAUCCUGAGGUGGGCCCACCUGCCUCCGUUGAGCCUUUGGCAAAUGCAGCCACAGCCAGCCUCUUGACUGCAGCCUCGCAAGAGGCCCCGAGGGAGAACCACUUAGCGAAGCCAUCACCAAACCCCUGGCCCGCAGCAGCUGGGCACCAGAUGUGUCUUGCUUGUGAGCCAAGUGUUGGGUAGUUCGCUGUGCAGCAGUGCCAGCGGGUCUAACCUCAGGGGAAUCUCCAAGCUGGGCUCUGCCAGUACCAUUUGCAGCACUUAGGCCUGGAUAGACAAUCUCUAGAGAAGUUUCCAGAACCACUUGCUAGUCAGUUCCAGAGAUUUCCAGACAGAGGUGCAGGGGGUUUGGAAUCCUGCCCAUCUGUGCUGUGCUCACCUGGAUUGAAAUGGCCGGUGGUUGGCUGGGCGCGGUGGCUCACGCCUGUAAUCCCAGCACUUUGGGAGGCCAAGACGGGCGGAUCAUGAGGUCAGGAAAUUGAGACCAUCCUGGCUAACACGGUGAAACCCUGUCUCUACUAAAAAAUACAAAAUUAGCCGGCCGUGGCUUGUAGUCCCAGCUAUACCGGGAGGCUGAGGCAGGAGAAUGGCUUGAACCUGGGAGGCGGAGCUUGCAGUGAGUGGAGAUCCCGCCACUGCACUCCAGCCUGGGCGACAGAGCAAGACUCCGUCUCAAAAAAAAAAAAAAAA